This is a long non-coding RNA of Cyanistes caeruleus (blue tit), 1634 nucleotides long. The record is from Ensembl. Lineage: Eukaryota; Metazoa; Chordata; Aves; Passeriformes; Paridae.
GAGUCUGUUUCUAAAACGACAACGACAAAAAAACAAACAAGCAAAAAAAAUUUGAUAAUAAUUAAUAAUAAUUAAUAAUAAUAAUUGUAUUUCCAUAAGCGGUGUAAUUUUUUUUUUCCAGUGUAGCUGCAGCUCUGUUGUACAAUAGAGAACUUUUUAUAAUCAAGCCCAAAUGUGAUUCCUCAAAGAUGCUUUUCCCAAAUUUCCCCAUCCCAGCGACUCCAAGGUGCUUCGGAGAAGAGAGGAAAAAAAAAAAGAAACAAACCCCGAAGUUUCUGGAAAAUUCCCCCCGGAUCCGGUGGCAAUUCCUGGGUUUAAUUUAUUUUUUUAGGGGUUGUUUUUUUUUUGGAUAUUUUUGUCAUUUUAUUUCCCUUUUCCCGCUUCCUCUGCAGCCCUCGGGGUCAGAUUUUCCCGCUGGACGCGGAUUCGGGAAGGGGAGGAUGGGAAUUCCCUUGGGAUGGCUUUGGGAGGGAGAUCCUGUCCUGGAAAUUCGGGAAAUUCGGGAAAAUCGGGAUCUGCCAGCGGGGGAAGGGAGGUGUCCCGAGCCAGGCCGGGUUUGGAGCGGGAUUCCCUGGCUUUUCCAUGGGAUCGGGAAUUCGGGAUGAGCCCAGCGCUGCCCUCCGCAUUCAGGGAAUUCCCGGAAUUCCUGGGAGAGGAGAGGAGAGAGCAGCGGGAUCAGGGAAUUCCCGGAAUUCCUGGGAGAGGAGAGAGCAGCGGGAUCAGGGAAUUAGAGGAGAGAGCAGCGGGAUCUGGGAAUUCCCGGAAUUCCUGGGAGAGGAGAGAGCAGCGGGAUCAGGGAAUUCCUGGAAUUCCUGGGAUUCCGGAGAGAGCAGCGGGAUCAGGGAAUUCCCGGAAUUCAGCGGGAUCAGGGAAUUCCCGGAAUUCCUGCCCGGUUUUUGGGACAGGGGGAUUUUUGGGAUGAAGCUGUUCCCCAGCCCGGGAUGUUCCCAGAUGGUUUUUAGGGACAGAGUCGGGGAUUUGGGGCAAUUCCAGGUCCAGGCUGGAGCUGUUCCCGUGGGAAUUGCCCCGUUCCAGGCUGGGAUUCCCUGGGGCUCCCUCGGGACCCCCGGAGCCAGGAAAAUCCCGUUUUCCUGGGAAUUCCUCCCCUUUGUGCCGCUGUUCCCGUCCCGACCCCACCGAACUCCCCCGGGGGGGGAAUCCCGGCCUGAUCGCGGAUUUUGGGAUUCGUUCUCAGCCGGAAAAGGCGGAAUUCUCCCCCAGGACAAAGCUGGGUUGGGAAAACCUCUGGAAUUUGCUCCUCCCAAGGUUUUCCCAAUCCCGGAGUUGGGUUUUCCCAUUCAUUGGAAACUCCGGGACCGUUCUGGGUCCAAACCCCUCAUUUUUGGCUGAACCGAGGCCCCUCAGAAAUGACAUUUUUAAACCAUUUUCUCCACAAUAAUUAACCCUCCCCACCCCGUUCCCUCCUGGCAGGAAAAAAUUCCAAUCCUGAAUUCCCAACCGCUGCAAUUCCCUGGAAUUCUCUGCCUUCCACCCCUGCCAUUCCCUGCUCAGGCCUGGGAUAAUCUGAUUUUUAAACGCCGGGAAAGCCCCAAACGGACGAGCAAUAAUUUCUAUUCCAGGUUCUUUUCCCCCUUCCCAAUAAAUCCUCCGGCAUUCCAGGCUGCUCUCCCGAG